GACGUAGGGGGCAAGCGUUGUCCGGAAUUAUUGGGCGUAAAGCGCGCGUAGGCGGACCUGCAAGUCGGGGGUGAAAGCCCGAGGCUCAACCUCGGAACUGCCUUCGAUACUGCGGGUCUCGAGUCCGGGAGAGGUGAGUGGAAUUCCUAGUGUAGAGGUGAAAUUCGUAGAUAUUAGGAAGAACACCAGUGGCGAAGGCGGCUCACUGGCCCGGUACUGACGCUGAGGCGCGAAAGCGUGGGGAGCAAACAGG
This 253-nucleotide ribosomal RNA is filed under the name uncultured bacterium. RNAcentral describes it as "partial 16S ribosomal RNA". It matches the Rfam family "Bacterial small subunit ribosomal RNA", at positions 524 to 776 of the family's 1533-position model. The record is from RNAcentral.